CCUACGGGGGGCAGCAGUGAGGAAUAUUGGUCAAUGGGCGCGAGCCUGAACCAGCCAAGUCGCGUGAGGGAAGACGGUCCUAUGGAUUGUAAACCUCUUUUGUCGGGGAGCAACAGACGCCACGCGUGGCGUUCCGAGAGUACCCGAAGAAAACGCAUCGGCUAACUCCGUGCCAGCAGCCGCGGUAAUACGGGGGAUGCGAGCGUUAUCCGGAUUGAUUGGGUUUAAGGGGUGCGCAGGCGGAAGAUCAAGUCAGCGGGAAAAUUGAGAGGCUCAACCUCUUCGAGCCGUUGAAACUGGUUGUCUUGAGUGAGCGAGAAGUAUGCGGAAUGCGUGGUGUAGCGGUGAAAUGCAUAGAUAUAACGCAGAACUCCGAUUGCGAAGGCAGCAUACCGGCGCUCAACUGACGCUCAUGCACGAAAGUGUGGGUAUCGAACAGGAUUAGAUACCCCAGUAGUC
Molecule: ribosomal RNA, 459 nt
Filed under: uncultured bacterium
Lineage: Bacteria
Description: partial 16S ribosomal RNA
Rfam family: Bacterial small subunit ribosomal RNA
Source: RNAcentral